This 464-nucleotide ribosomal RNA is filed under the name uncultured bacterium. RNAcentral describes it as "partial 16S ribosomal RNA". It matches the Rfam family "Bacterial small subunit ribosomal RNA", at positions 29 to 507 of the family's 1533-position model. The record is from RNAcentral.
ACGCACGCUGGCGGCGUGCUUCACACAUGCAAGUCGAACGGAAAGGCCCUGCUUGCCGGGUAAUCGAGUGGCGAACGGGUGAGUAACACGUGGGUGAUCUGCCCUGCACUUCGGGAUAAGCCUGGGAAACUGGGUCUAAUACCGGAUAGGAGCCAUUUUUAGUGUGAUGGUUGGAAAGUUUUUUCGGUGUAGGAUGAGCUCGCGGCCUAUCAGCUUGUUGGUGGGGUAAUGGCCUACCAAGGCGGCGACGGGUAGCCGGCCUGAGAGGGUGGACGGCCACAUUGGGACUGAGAUACGGCCCAGACUCCUACGGGAGGCAGCAGUGGGGAAUAUUGCACAAUGGGCGCAAGCCUGAUGCAGCGACGCCGCGUGGGGGAUGACGGCCUUCGGGUUGUAAACUCCUUUCGCUAGGGACGAAGCUUUUUGUGACGGUACCUAGAUAAGAAGCACCGGCUAACUACGUG